GGUGAGAUGACCGAGUUGUAGGUAGUAAACUGUAAAUUUACUCACGAAAUGAAAAUUUCUUUCACCA
RNAcentral lists this transfer RNA (67 nucleotides) under Apomecyna saltator. Its description in RNAcentral is "tRNA-Tyr". Lineage: Eukaryota; Metazoa; Arthropoda; Insecta; Coleoptera; Cerambycidae. The record is from RNAcentral.